Pseudoliparis swirei is the source of this 1924-nucleotide RNA transcript. It is a transcript of the gene named keratin, type II cytoskeletal 8-like, with no coding region annotated. Lineage: Eukaryota; Metazoa; Chordata; Actinopteri; Perciformes; Liparidae. The record is from RefSeq and is a predicted model, not a curated record. The transcript is spliced from 9 exons.
AGCGGGUCUGACUGGACAGACACUUGAUGGGUGUGAUGGAGACAGGGGAGGGGAUGGGUGGUCCUUGUCAAGCUUAUAAGCAGGUGAUGCAGAGGGCUGGAGGAACCUUCACGGCUCACCUGUUCGUCUUCUGGGUCUCACCUCACCGGUACAAACUGCAAUAUGUCUAGACCGAGAGAUUACAGCAGCCAGACCUACCCCCCCGGCCUCACCGGGCCGGUCAAAAGCUUCCCGACCCGCGACAAGAUCGACCCGUCGGGCAAAUCCAGGGAGAAGGACGACAUGGUGGCACUCAACGACAAGUUCGUCAGGUUGAUCGACAAGGUGAAACACCUGGAGGAUGAGAAUAAGAAGCUUGACAUGAAGAGGAAGAUCCUCAAGGACCAGGGCGACUAUGAGGGGAAGGUCGACGACAUCGUCAAGCAUCUGGAGAACGAGAUGGAGCAGCAGAUCGAGAACUUGCUCCGGGACCAAGACAAGCUGGAGGCGGAGCUUCUCCAGAACCAGGAGGAGGUGGAAGACACCAAGAAGAGGUAUGAGGACAAUUUAGCAAAGAAAGCCGAACUUGAGAACGAUUUUAUCAUCACGAAAAAGGACGUCGAUGAAGGUCACCUGGAGGCAGUAGAUCUGGCUCUGGAGCUGGAGGACCUGAUGGGGAAACUGGACUUCCUCAGGAUUGGCUAUGAUGAGGAGAUCAAGGAGCUGGAGUCGAUCAUCCAAAACGAGACGGUGGUCCUACGCGACGACAGCAAGCGGUCUCUGGACAUGGACAAGAUCGUCGAGGGAGUCAAGACCCAGUACGCCAACAUGGCCGGCCGCACCAGGGAGGAAGCCGAGCAGUGGAACCAGAAAAAGAUGGAUGCCAUGGUCUCGACUGCAGGGCAGCGGGAGAAGGAUGUGCGUGAUUUAAGGCGGGAGAUCUCAGACCUGCUGCGCCACAUCCAGAGGCUCAACGGGGACCUGGAGGCCCUCCAGAGGAAGGAGGAUUCCCUGAAGAAGGACAUCGACGACGUGAAGACAGAAGGAGACAAGAGCCUGGAGAACUCUCGGGAGGACAUCGCAAAGCUGGAGGAGGCCUUGCGGCGGGCCAAGCAAGACUUGGCCGGACAGAUCCGCGAGCACCAGGCGCUGAUGAACCUGAAGCUGGCCCUGGACAUCGAGAUCGCCACCUACCGCAAGCUGCUGGAGGGCGAGGAGCAGAGGUAUGCGAGGAGAUCAUCACGUCGGUUAUCGUGUACCACCAAUGCGUUAUAGUUCCAACUAACAAAGGUCUCUCCCUCGGCUCCUUCCCUGUGAAGAAUGAACCACCUCAUGCGCAACGCAGAUUUCUAAAAAAUAAGAAAACCAACCAAUCCACGUCCUUACUUGCACGCAGACGUUCCGCUGCCAUCGGAGCAACACCUGCCCGAGAAGCCACGAGUCCCAAACCCCCCCCCCCCCCUCCAAUAAACGCCUGCUGAUCCGGGUGGAGGCCGGCAGAGUCGUGCCCGAAAGCUCCCAUUACACCGACGACUGACCCGGCACGGUCCAAUCACACCUCUCUGUCUGCAGCUUUACACUACAUCCGCAACAUGUGAUUAAAGUAAUGAAUUAAACUCCUCCGGGAAUCAUGAUGAAAGUGGCUUUUUAAAUGCUAUCGUUGAACAAAAGCUUCUUGGCAGGUGGGACGGUUUUUUCCCUCGAAUCCAGAGACGUUUUGUUUAUGUCGAGCAGUGUUUAAAAAAAAAAAAUGUCUUAUCUUUGUUGGCCUUCGCAAAUACUCGUGUUCUCGGUUCCACCGGUGUGCGUUCCCUCGUGCCUUUUCUGUCUGCUUUAUAUCUCAAACAUGUCCAAAAGAUCACAAGGGAGUCAGAGGGGCAUCAACGUUUUACGAUUCAAUAUUUAUAACUGGACACGAUAAAUAAAUAAAGCGCCGUGAACAAUA